Onychomys torridus (southern grasshopper mouse) is the source of this 102-nucleotide small nuclear RNA. The record is from RefSeq and is a predicted model, not a curated record. Lineage: Eukaryota; Metazoa; Chordata; Mammalia; Rodentia; Cricetidae.
GUGCUGAUUGGCAGCACAUGUACUAAAACUGGAACAAUACAAAGAUUAGCAUGGCCCCUGCCCAAGGAUGACAUGCAAAUUCGUGAAGCGUUCCAUAUUUAA